GGGUCGUUAGCUCAGUUGGUAGAGCAGUUGACUUUUAAUCAAUUGGUCGCAGGUUCGAACCGACCCAGCAACGGCCCG
This 78-nucleotide transfer RNA is filed under the name Klebsiella pneumoniae. RNAcentral describes it as "tRNA-Lys". It matches the Rfam family "tRNA". From Rfam's summary of the family: Transfer RNA (tRNA) molecules are approximately 80 nucleotides in length. Their secondary structure includes four short double-helical elements and three loops (D, anti-codon, and T loops). The record is from RNAcentral. Lineage: Bacteria; Pseudomonadati; Pseudomonadota; Gammaproteobacteria; Enterobacterales; Enterobacteriaceae.